RNAcentral lists this transfer RNA (90 nucleotides) under Alkalinema sp. FACHB-956. RNAcentral's name for it is "tRNA-Ser". It matches the Rfam family "tRNA". From Rfam's summary of the family: Transfer RNA (tRNA) molecules are approximately 80 nucleotides in length. The record is from RNAcentral. Lineage: Bacteria; Bacillati; Cyanobacteriota; Cyanophyceae; Leptolyngbyales; Leptolyngbyaceae.
GGAGAGAUGGCCGAGCGGCUUAAGGCACCUUCCUGCUAAGAAGACGUGGGUUUUAUCAAUCCACCGAGGGUUCAAAUCCCUCUCUCUCCG